UGUGCAGGCGGCUUUGUAAGUCAGUGGUGAAGGCCCGGAGCUCAACUCUGGAAUUGCCAUUGAUACUGCAAAGCUUGAGUUCGGUUGAAGUAGGCGGAAUGUAGCAUGUAGCGGUGAAAUGCUUAGAUAUGCUACAGAACACCGAUUGCGAAGGCAGCUUACUAAACCGUUACUGACGCUGAUACACGAAAGCGUGGGGAGCGAACAGGAUUAGAUACCCUGGUAGUCC
Molecule: ribosomal RNA, 229 nt
Filed under: uncultured bacterium
Lineage: Bacteria
Description: partial 16S ribosomal RNA
Rfam family: Bacterial small subunit ribosomal RNA
Source: RNAcentral